This is an antisense RNA of 75 nucleotides. It matches the Rfam family "ASpks TB sRNA".
CUUCAGCGAACCGAGCCACAGCGGACGGCCCUCCGGCCGCCCCUGACCGUAAGCAGCGAGCAGAGCCUGCGCCUC